Molecule: ribosomal RNA, 460 nt
Filed under: uncultured bacterium
Lineage: Bacteria
Description: partial 16S ribosomal RNA
Rfam family: Bacterial small subunit ribosomal RNA
Source: RNAcentral
CCUACGUGGGGCAGCAGUGAGGAAUAUUGGUCAAUGGCCGGAAGGCUGAACCAGCCAAGCCGCGUGAGGGAGGAAGGCGCAGAGCGUCGCAGACCUCUUUUGCCGGGGGACAAAAGGCCGGACGGUUCCGGUUCUGAGGGUACCCGGAGCAAAAGCAUCGGCUAACUCCGUACCAGCAGCCGCGGUAAGACGGAGGGUGCGAGCGUUAUCCGGAUUCAUUGGGUCUAAAGGGAGCGUAGAUGGGUUGUUAAGUCAGUUGUGAAAGUUUGCGGCUCAACCGUAAAAUUGCAAUUGAUACUGGCAGUCUUGAGUACAGGUGCGGUAGGCGGAAUUCGUGGUGUAGCGGUGAAAUGCUUAGAUAGCACGAAGAACCCCGAUUGCGAAGGCAGCUUACUAAACUGUGACUGACAUUGAUGCUCGAAAGUGUGGGUAUCAAACAGGAUUAGAUACCCGUGUAGUC